RNAcentral lists this ribosomal RNA (253 nucleotides) under uncultured bacterium. RNAcentral's name for it is "partial 16S ribosomal RNA". It matches the Rfam family "Bacterial small subunit ribosomal RNA", at positions 524 to 776 of the family's 1533-position model. The record is from RNAcentral.
UACAGAGGUCCCAAGCGUUGUUCGGAUUCACUGGGCGUAAAGGGUGCGUAGGUGGCUGGGUAAGUCUGAUGUGAAAUCUCCGAGCUUAACUCGGAAAUGGCAUUGGAUACUAUCCGGCUCGAGGGUUGGAGGGGGGACUGGAAUUCUCGGUGUAGCAGUGAAAUGCGUAGAUAUCGAGAGGAACACCAGUGGCGAAGGCGAGUCCCUGGACAACUCCUGACACUGAGGCACGAAAGCUAGGGGAGCAAACAGG